UCCCUGGCGUGAGGGUAUGUGUCUUUGGACUACAUCGUGAAGCCAGCACCAUGCUGUCCGUGAGCAUAUACACUUUGCCUCAGGCCUGUGUCGUC
RNAcentral lists this microRNA precursor (95 nucleotides) under Choloepus hoffmanni (Hoffmann's two-fingered sloth). Its description in RNAcentral is "microRNA 455 (ENSCHOG00000014263.1)". The stretch from base 2 to 84 matches the Rfam family "mir-455 microRNA precursor family". Lineage: Eukaryota; Metazoa; Chordata; Mammalia; Pilosa; Megalonychidae. The record is from RNAcentral.